GACGAACGCUGGCGGCGUGCCUAAUACAUGCAAGUAGAACACACAGUUUAUACCGUAGCUUGCUACACCAUAGACUGUGAGUUGCGAACGGGUGAGUAACGCGUAGGUAACCUGCCUGGUAGCGGGGGAUAACUAUUGGAAACGAUAGCUAAUACCGCAUAAUAUUGAUUAUUGCAUGAUAAUUAAUUGAAAGGUGCAAUUGCAUCACUACCAGAUGGACCUGCGUUGUAUUAGCUAGUAGGUGAGGUAACGGCUCACCUAGGCGACGAUACAUAGCCGACCUGAGAGGGAGAUCGGCCACACUGGGACUGAGACACGGCCCAGACUCCUACGGGAGGCAGCAGUAGGGAAUCUUCGGCAAUGGACGAAAGUCUGACCGAGCAACGCCGCGUGAGUGAAGAAGGUUUUCGGAUCGUAAAGCUCUGUUGUAAGAGAAGAACGGGUGUGAGAGUGGAAAGUUCACACUGUGACGGUAGCUUACCAGAAAGGGACGGCUAACUACGUG
This 505-nucleotide ribosomal RNA is filed under the name uncultured bacterium. RNAcentral describes it as "partial 16S ribosomal RNA". It matches the Rfam family "Bacterial small subunit ribosomal RNA", at positions 28 to 507 of the family's 1533-position model. The record is from RNAcentral.